Molecule: long non-coding RNA, 519 nt
Organism: Pantherophis guttatus
Lineage: Eukaryota; Metazoa; Chordata; Lepidosauria; Squamata; Colubridae
Source: RefSeq, a predicted model, not a curated record
GUUGAUACAGUUGAGUACACACCUCUAAAGGAAGAACUGGGUAUCAUUCUGGCUAGUAUGUGGAUGUCAUUUAAAGUGAAAGAGUUAUAUCUAACUCUUGAUGUUCUGUUACUCUUUUUCUACUGAUGAGCAAGCUAUGAUAUCAAGCUUAUUAUCAGGCUGAGAGAAGAAAACAGAAUGGAGUCAGCCUCUGCCUUCAUCUUUAGGCUCUCAGGAGGCAGGAGAACAAUAACAUCUACAUUCCAAUUUAUUCUCAAGCAAGGGACACGUUAACCUAAAUAAAAGAGAACACGGUAUGAUUUUUCUUUCAAGCUGCAAUACAAAGCCAUAUAUUUUCCCAUUACCGUCUCCUUCUCUGGGGACUGAAACUGAAUCUAAUCCUCUGAAGAGAAUGAUUUGGAAGAAGCAAGAGAAAAAACAGCAGUGAAAAAUCAUUCAGUUUUAGAAAUAAGUUGUUUUUAAGUGCUAUAUUUUGAGAUGAUAGACUGAUAUAUAACCAUUAAAGUUAUUUUUAAAAUU